AGAGUUUGAUCCUGGCUCAGGACGAACGCUGGCGGCGUGCUUAACACAUGCAAGUGGAGCGACGAACCAGGGCUUGCCCUGGGGCAAAGCCGCGAACGGGUGAGUAACACGUGGGUUACCUGCCCCGAUGACCGGGACAACCCGAGGAAACUCGGGCUAAUACCGGAUGUGACCGUAAGGUGAAAGGAAGCUUCGGCCUCCGCAUCGGGAUGGGCCCGCGGCCCAUUAGCUUGUUGGUGGGGUAAUGGCCUACCAAGGCGACGAUGGGUAGCUGGUCUGAGAGGAUGAUCAGCCACACUGGGACUGAGACACGGCCCAGACUCCUACGGGAGGCAGCAGUGGGGAAUCUUGCGCAAUGCGCGAAAGCGUGACGCAGCAACGCCGCGUGGGGGAAGAAGGCUUUCGGGUUGUAAACCCCUUUCAGUUGG
RNAcentral lists this ribosomal RNA (428 nucleotides) under uncultured bacterium. Its description in RNAcentral is "bacterial SSU rRNA". It matches the Rfam family "Bacterial small subunit ribosomal RNA", at positions 8 to 443 of the family's 1533-position model. The record is from RNAcentral.